UGGUAAUUGACUCAUAAUCAUGUUGAAAGCUCAACUCCAAGCACCAGAUGUUACCAAAAUGUACACACAAAAACAUAACUUGUCCAUCAAAAUAAGAUGAAACAUUCAGCCAAUGAUUGGCAAACAAAUUUUUCUUUCAGCAUCAUUGUGAUGAAAGAAAUAGCAAACAAUAAAUAGAAUAAUACAUAAAGCUAUAUUUUAUUGAACAAUGAAAAGAAAAAUAAAAACUCGUCUACAAUGAUAGAAAUCCUCAUCUAGCAAUAGGCCAAAGCCAUACAUCCUAAGAACUAACAGUAGUUAAACUAGCCUCCACAUCAGAAAAUUAUAUCCUCAUCCUUCUCCAUUGAUGGAGACAACAAGUUGUGGGCUGAUUUUAGCGAUAUCCCCUUCUGUAGAGAAAUUUUCUCUGCAAACUGUUCCUCGGCAAACUGCUUGGCAGCAGCAAGCUGUUUCUCAAUUUCCCUCUUCUUAUAACCUUGUAUCUUCUUCAACCUGAAGAAAUCUUCCCUUUCAAGCUCAUCCAACUCCCCUUUAAUGUAACUAAUGGUAUUUUCCAAUCUUGGCUUCACAACGUUCUCCAGUGCAUUGACCCUACGAUUAGUGGUCUUGAUCGCCUCAUCAAGUGUUAAAAAUGAUGUCUGCAGUGAAGCAAGCUCAACAAGAAGCUCAAUUGCUUUGACAUAAGCAGCACGGCAGGCCUGGACCUGUUGGCCACCUCGGGCCAAUCCUGUGAGGUCAUUCCUGGUCCCACCAUCUGUGAAAUACUCGAACUUAGGAAGCUUCACACCAGCAACAUUCUCCUGUCGAGAUCGAACCUUAAGAGAUGCAUUUUGGACAUUCUCAAGGACAACAUGCUUGAUGUUUUCACCGGCAACAUACUUUGCUUCAGUUAGGGCAAAUGAAGCGGAUUUCAUGAUCUCUCCCAUUGAUUCUUUUGUCGUGACAAUCUUCUUAAGAAUUUGACGGAACUGCACGGUCAAAGCAUCACUCUUCUUCUUGAGAAGAGCAUGACCCCUUGUAGCACCAACAAGGCGAGCUUUAACAACACCAAGCAUCGUAACAGUCGGAACUACAUUCAAGCGCUGGCCUUGCCCUGACAUAUUUCAGAAAAUCUAAACCACGGAUAGAGAGAGAGAGCGAGAGAGUCAGUCAAUUACACGAGAAAAGUAUAGCUUCCUACUUGGAUAGAAAGAUUAAUUGAUUCAGCAAAACAAAAUCACUAUUACUUAGAACAAAAAAAAUUAGUAAUGUCAACAUGAUGACAAAGAAAUGCUAAACCACUACCUUAUUCAUGUACACAACUAAUUGAAUCUUUUAGCAUAACUAAGACUCCUUCUUUUGAAAUUUUCACAUUCCAGGUUUCUCAUUUGAACAUCAAUUUGAAGACAAGCAAUUGAUUCUUGGAUCAUCACCCAUAAACCUUAGUUAACUUCUUCCUAGAGUUUUAACAAAGUCAUCAGAGUAAACAUGUAUAUAAAGAAAAUAGCCAUUAUGCUGUAUUUUAUUACCAAUAUAUCUUUUUUCACAGAAUCAUUAUAUAAAGCACUAAGAAACGAAUAUAAGAGCAAUGUACAUGAAACUAAGAUGAUAAAUGACCGGUUCAAACCCAAAAUAAGAAUGUAUCCAAGAUUUCAAGCUCUAUGAAAUAAAACUUGUAACAUCUAAACUAAAUCCGUAUGGAAAUGCAGAAAAGCCACCAAUUCAAAACUUCUAUUUAAUCCUAUUUUAUUUAGUCCGAAAAAUCCAAAAUGUAGCUUGAUACUGCACAACAUUUCAAAACAAGAAUAGUGCUGAACAGUCUUGUAUAGCUAAAAUGCAUAGAAACACACAUUAUAUUUUUUGACAGCCAAAUCUGCCCAUUUAUCCAUAAUAGUUUGCACACAACAAACAAAAUAAGAUUAUGAUUAGAAAAACAUGAAGAUUUUCAAAAUCUAGAGUUGCAAAUAAACUAAGCUGUUUGUGAACAACUUGGAAACUCAACUUAGUAAAGGCGACUCAGAGACUCAAAUUAGUGAAGGUUUUUUUGGAGCUCAUUUGAUAUAUGAGCUCAGCUUGUUUAGGCCCGUAUGCGUCUUGUUUAAGUUUGUCUACAAGCUCAUAAAAAAUGGCUCAUUUAUAGCUUGUUUUAAGGCUUAAUCACAAUAAAUUUAUAAAUACUAAUAUUUGAAGAAGUCUAACUAAUUACCUAAUAUAAAGACUUCUAAUGGAGUUUUGAUUUUCUGAGUUAUAAACAAAACAAAUUAUUCAUGAACGCUCAACAAGGAUCCACUCAUUAAGACUUUAAUAAUAAAACAGCUAAGAAUAAGCCAAACCAGGCUUGACUUAGUUAAAGUCAUUUACAAUUCGAGCCAAGCCCGAACCAAGCAAAUUGUGGCUCGUAUGCAGCCAAUAUCAAAAGCAUACGUUCAUGAAACACAUAAAUCUAAUAUAAACCAAUGCCUACAAUGAGUAUUAAACACAGGUAUUUUUCAUUUUGUGAUGUUCCAAAUUGUUACUAUCAUUUUAGCCAGAAAAGAUUCUACAACAGCAAUGCAAAAAAGUAACUCUUUACAAGUAAUCCAUGAAGCACAAAUAAGUAACUGGAAAAAUCUACCAAACAACCAAAAUAGCUUAAAAAGGAAUGCGCCACUGUUUCUCAAUUAUGAAAAAAAAAUCGAAAUAAAAAUUCUGAAUAUAGAAAUAC
Molecule: unclassified non-coding RNA, 2683 nt
Filed under: Hevea brasiliensis (rubber tree)
Lineage: Eukaryota; Viridiplantae; Streptophyta; Magnoliopsida; Malpighiales; Euphorbiaceae
Source: RNAcentral